Molecule: ribosomal RNA, 94 nt
Filed under: Escherichia coli
Lineage: Bacteria; Pseudomonadati; Pseudomonadota; Gammaproteobacteria; Enterobacterales; Enterobacteriaceae
Also listed under: 1 other name
Description: partial 16S ribosomal RNA
Rfam family: Bacterial small subunit ribosomal RNA
Source: RNAcentral
UUAAAUUGAAGAGUUUGAUCAUGGCUCAGAUUGAACGCUGGCGGCAGGCCUAACACAUGCAAGUCGAACGGUAACAGGGAUCAGCUUGCUGAUU